AGCGAACGCUGGCGGCAGGCCUAACACAUGCAAGUCGAACGAAGCCUUCGGGCUUAGUGGCGGACGGGUGAGUAACACGUGGGAACGUACCUUUUGGUUCGGAACAACUCAGGGAAACUUGAGCUAAUACCGGAUGAGCCCUUAGGGGGAAAGAUUUAUCGCCGAAAGAGCGGCCCGCGUUAGAUUAGCUAGUUGGUGAGGUAAAGGCUCACCAAGGCAACGAUCCAUAGCUGGUCUGAGAGGAUGAUCAGCCACACUGGGACGGAGACACGGCACAGACUCCUACGGGAGGGAGCAGUGGGGAAUCUUGCGCAACGGGCGAAAGCCUGACGCAGCCAUGCCGCGUGAAUGAUGAAGGUCUUAGGAUUGUAAAAUUCUUUUACCAGGGACGAUAAUGACGGUACCUGGAGAAAAAGCCCCGGCUAACUUCGUGCCAGCCGCCGCAGUAA
RNAcentral lists this ribosomal RNA (449 nucleotides) under uncultured bacterium. RNAcentral describes it as "partial 16S ribosomal RNA". It matches the Rfam family "Bacterial small subunit ribosomal RNA", at positions 29 to 523 of the family's 1533-position model. The record is from RNAcentral.